GACGAACGCUGGCGGCGUGCUUAACACAUGCAAGUCGAACGGAAAGGCCCUGCUUGCAGGGUACUCGAGUGGCGAACGGGUGAGUAACACGUGGGUGAUCUGCCCUGCACUUCGGGAUAAGCCUGGGAAACUGGGUCUAAUACCGGAUAGGAGCCAUUUUUAGUGUGAUGGUUGGAAAGUUUUUUCGGUGUAGGAUGAGCUCGCGGCCUAUCAGCUUGUUGGUGGGGUAAUGGCCUACCAAGGCGGCGACGGGUAGCCGGCCUGAGAGGGUGGACGGCCACAUUGGGACUGAGAUACGGCCCAGACUCCUACGGGAGGCAGCAGUGGGGAAUAUUGCACAAUGGGCGCAAGCCUGAUGCAGCGACGCCGCGUGGGGGAUGACGGCCUUCGGGUUGUAAACUCCUUCCGCUAGGGACGAAGCUUUUUGUGACGGUACCUAGAUAAGAAGCACCGGCUAACUACGU
RNAcentral lists this ribosomal RNA (464 nucleotides) under uncultured bacterium. RNAcentral's name for it is "partial 16S ribosomal RNA". It matches the Rfam family "Bacterial small subunit ribosomal RNA", at positions 28 to 506 of the family's 1533-position model. The record is from RNAcentral.